Molecule: non-coding RNA, 344 nt
Organism: Pelodiscus sinensis (Chinese soft-shelled turtle)
Lineage: Eukaryota; Metazoa; Chordata; Testudines; Trionychidae
Source: RefSeq, a predicted model, not a curated record
UCUUCCUCAGCCAACGCAUAUGCAACUGAUCGAGCUGCAAAACAUGGUGAUGAUAUAUUGUCCAUGACUCCAAGCCAUACAGCAGGACAUUCAGGACAACUGCCUGAUAAACCACUAUCUUGGCGUCGGAGAUUGAAAAUGAGUUGUCACUGACCCGAAGCCCCAUGAAAGCCACGAAACUCAAUCGAUAUUUCUGCCCCAUUUCACUGCAGAGCCAGAGAGCUUGCAGCCUUUGGCCUGAAGGGGAUGUGGAAAUCCGGAUGCCUCAUCAAAAGCUGACUGUGAUUCUGUGCCUCUGUCACCUCCUCUCCCCAACACCCUUGCUCACACACGCUAAUAAAAAC